UGUUCAGAUCGAAUUACCGGUGCAUGC
This 27-nucleotide non-coding RNA is filed under the name Homo sapiens (human). The record is from RNAcentral. Lineage: Eukaryota; Metazoa; Chordata; Mammalia; Primates; Hominidae.